CCUACGGGAGGCUGCAGUGAGGAAUAUUGGUCAAUGGACGAGAGUCUGAACCAGCCAAGUAGCGUGAAGGAUGACUGCCCUAUGGGUUGUAAACUUCUUUUAUAAAGGAAUAAAACGAGGCACGUGUGCCUUUUUGCAUGUACUUUAUGAAUAAGGAUCGGCUAAACACGUGCCAGCAGCCGCGGGUAUACGGAGGGUCCGAGCGUUAUCCGGAUUUUUUGGGUUUAAAGGGAGCGUAGAUGGGUUGUUAAGUUAGUUGGGAAAGUGUGCGGCUCAACCGUAAGAUUGCAAUUGAUACUGGCAGUCUUGAGUACAGUUGAGGUAGGCGGAAUGCGUGGUGUAGCGGUGAAAUGCUUAGAUAUCACGAAGAACCCCGAUUGCGAAGGCAGCUUACUAAACUGUGACUGACAUUGAUGCUCGAAAGUGUGGGUAUCAAACAGGAUUAGAUACCCUUGUAGUC
RNAcentral lists this ribosomal RNA (460 nucleotides) under uncultured bacterium. RNAcentral's name for it is "partial 16S ribosomal RNA". It matches the Rfam family "Bacterial small subunit ribosomal RNA", at positions 338 to 795 of the family's 1533-position model. The record is from RNAcentral.